RNAcentral lists this small RNA (182 nucleotides) under Azospirillum sp. RU37A. RNAcentral's name for it is "caulobacter sRNA CC2171". Lineage: Bacteria; Pseudomonadati; Pseudomonadota; Alphaproteobacteria; Rhodospirillales; Azospirillaceae. The record is from RNAcentral. RNAcentral also lists the same sequence under 1 other name.
UAACCAAUGAAAGGAGGUGAUCCGAUGUCUCGUUCCACUUUGCGGACCCGUGCGGAUCUCUCCGUCACCGGGCUUAUCCUCGGCUGAUACGGAUUGGGUCCGCCGGCGGGUUCUUAACCGCCAAGCGGAUCGUCUACGGCUACCGUAGGGGGCGGGGCCGGCACCAGCGAUGGGGCCGGCCC